UGGGGAAUUUUCCGCAAUGGGCGAGAGCCUGACGGAGCAACGCCGCGUGAGGGAGGACGGCCUGUGGGUUGUAAACCUCUUUUCUCAGGGAAGAAGAACUGACGGUACCUGAGGAAUCAGCAUCGGCUAACUCCGUGCCAGCAGCCGCGGUAAGACGGAGGAUGCAAGCGUUAUCCGGAAUUAUUGGGCGUAAAGCGUCCGCAGGCGGCCGUUCAAGUCUGCUGUCAAAGCGCGCAGCUCAACUGUGGAUGGGCGGUGGAAACUGAAUGGCUAGAGCGUGGUAGGGGUAGAGGGAAUUCCCAGUGUAGCGGUGAAAUGCGUAGAGAUUGGGAAGAACACCAGUGGCGAAAGCGCUCUACUGGGCCGAGACUGACACUCAGGGACGAAAGCUAGGGGAGCGAAAGGGAUUAGAUACCCGCGUAGUCC
This 426-nucleotide ribosomal RNA is filed under the name uncultured prokaryote. RNAcentral describes it as "bacterial SSU rRNA". It matches the Rfam family "Bacterial small subunit ribosomal RNA", at positions 355 to 796 of the family's 1533-position model. The record is from RNAcentral.